UAAGAAUGAAUACGGAUAAUUUGGAGUUACCGACAGGUCAUUGCGACUGCGCAUUGAUACAUAAGCCGCGCAUGGGAAAGGCCGGUCAUUGAUCCUUCUAGUUAUUUACUAGUAAAUCACGUCCGAACAUUCUUGUCGUCCUGAAGUUUUGUCUGCUUUAAACCAAACCUUGAAUUUAGAAAAACAACAAUGGUAUGUGUGUUUCAUCAAUGCAUAUAAACAUCUGAUAUGUCUAUUGAUGUGUUUAUGUUUCAGCGACCGCUAAAUGAAUGAGUUAUGUAAAAGAACGUUUCCUGCCCACCUUGUGAUAAUUUCCACGUGUUCUCUGUUCUUUGUAGAUAGAUUCUCUUUAAAAUUAUGGUAACCGGUGUUGGGGUAAUUGUUCUUUUGCUAUUAUUACCCUAGCUAGGUCCGCUUUUUCAAUGGGAAGUUUCGAAGUUAAAAUAAUAAACAAAUUUGUAAUCCAACAUGAAAUAAUUUACGCUAAUGUAAAUUAUUACUCUGUUUUAAUUCAUUUUUAUCUAUUCUCCUAUAUUUAUGUAACUCAAUCUGUUGCUUUUCUAUUCGUCUCAUUAAAAAGAAAAUGUUCGAUUGGAUUUAAUAAUUAAAAGUUAAUUCUUCAAAUAUAUAUAAAUCUUGAAAUAUAUGCCUCUGUGUAAAUAGUGACUUUUUUGUAAGACCUGUGCUUUUAAUUAUUUGAUAUAAAGACAACUAUCUCUGAAGUGUUUCAUAAUAUUCUGUAAUCAUUUUACACGUUUGUUUUCUAAAUUUUUAAUUACAUAUUAAAAUACUCCCUUAAUCCUUUGUUGACCUUUAGGGUACCUUCGCUUGGUGCACACCUUUUUUCGCUAUGCAUUGCCUUCAUGUAUGACAUUGAAUUUUUGACCUUGUCGAAACUAAGUUAGGGUCUGAAGAUCUUUCUUCGUAAGGACGCCCUAAAUUAACGCGAACGGUCUACUGAAGCUAUUCGUGCAUGUAACACUAUACAGCCGUUGAGGUAUUAAAGAGGGCUACAACAUUUAGGAAUACCCUUCCCGUUCGUUAUCUUAUAUAAAUAUACAUUUUUUUUUUCUUAGAUUACGUGUUUCUGUUUCGCCCACGUGAAACGAACUCCGAAACUAUCCAUUUACACUCAUCAUGCCCUUGAAAAAUUAUUUUAAUAAUAAAUGAGACUGUUUCUUUAUGCUAAUUUUAUUGGCUUUGUUUUAAAAACAUUCCUCGUUUGUGCGAUCGAAUUCUGUUCCACUGUAAUAUUAAAUUAUAAAUUAAAGGCGGCGAGCUGGCAGAAACGUUAGCACGCCGGGCGAAAUGCUUACCGGCAUUUCAUCUGUCUUUACGUUCUCAAUUCAAAUUCCGCUGAGGUCAACUUAGAGCCCCACCCCCACCCAGUUCUCCCAAAUGUGUUUAAUAAAAAAAAAAAUUUUUUUAAAUUGCCGAAGACCCCGUUUUCGUAUACGGAGGUUCCGGAAAAUUGCCAAAAAUCAGUAUUGUUAAAUUUCGCCCCCUAAAUUAUUCUUGCCAUUCAUCCUUUCGGAAUCGAUAAAUUAAGUACCAGUUGCGUACUGGAGUCAUCUUAUCGACUGGUCCCCUCCCCCAAAAUGUUGGGCCUUGUGCCUGGAGUACAAAAGAAUAUUAAAAUUAUAAAUUGAAGUUGUCAGCAAGCACAUUAGAAUUAAUCAGUUUUUCCAACUUUUACUGGAUAAUCAACAGAAAAACCUAAUAGAUCAAAUGAAAUUAACCUUCAACGACUCGCGUUUUCAUAUUAAAAAACGAAUUUCGGUGUCGAGUUCUGUAAAGCUAACUUUAAAUCACAACCCUUUAAAAAAAUAGUGUCCGAUAAUGAAAUUUUAGUGAAGUUGAUUUUAUUAAAAGUAUUAUGAUAACGUUUUCUUUUCUUUUUGAUACGGGCUAACUGUUUAACUUUCCCACUCACCCCCCUUUAUUUAUUACGAUUUGUGUUAUGUUACUGUGACCUUUUUUCUUUUAAUAUCUAAUAAUGGAUCUGCGAACUAUAUUUUUUUAUCUACGGACGUUUUUUUGGGUUAGGUAAAACAAUUUUAAGUCUUUUUAUAAUGAAGCAUUACUUGUGAUAAGGAUUUGAUCCCCUAAAUGAUUUUAUCACUCGUUAAUUCAGGUUUAUACAAUUUUAUCUCAUAAGGGUAGUUUAAAGGUCAACUUAUCUUAGUUAAAAAUUCUCCGCUCCCGAAAACUAGGUUAUGACUUAGAUUUACUUAAUUUCAGACAUUGGACCGCGGCUGUUCUAGGGCACCGUCUUUCAAGGACUUACUCGGUUCAUACCUGAAUCGCACCUCUCUUGAAAAAAAAAAAACUUUUUUUUUUAUAUUCCCGAUUCCUAUGUUUUAGAUAUCGGAGAUUACGAAUAUGCAAGAAAACACGUUUUCAAAAUUUUAAAUUCAAUAAGCAUAGAUAUGUGUAUAAAGAAAUAGAUAGAUAUGAAUGCCUUCCUGGGGAUCUAAAAACAAAAGUAACUAUAUAAACUCAUGGUCGUUAUUAAUCUAUUUAAAAUGAGACAAGUAAUUCACUGUAUAGACCAGAUGUGAAGAAAACUGAGGCCAAUUUACUUAUUGAUUAGUUCGUAGGAAUUCAGUGUUUGCUGCUAGAUUUUAGGACCAGUGGUGGUAGAUCAGUGCUUUUUCAUUAUGAUCCAUUGCACAUGUCGCAGUUCACUUGGCCACCCGAAUAUAUGAAACAGCAGAGUGCAAAUGUUACAAUCUUAUAGGUAACUGAACAUUGUUGCUUAUAUUGCAAACAGAAUGGUGUUAGGUUGCCAAAACAUGCAGAGCUCAGUAGCACCUUGAUUGCAGUGACAGCACAGGCUAGGUGGGUUUUUUUCAGAUUAAGGAUUAAGCAGAUGUCUCUGGUUUAAUGUAUACUUGACCCAAGUUUUGUUGCUUUGCAUGCCAAACUAAGAUGAACUAGAAAACUUUAAUCCAGCUGAUCAUGUUUCCGCCAACUGUGUUGAGAACUUGAAGUUAAGGAGCCUCAGGUUUGGAGAUAGAUGGUCAGGUCCUGUUUAUGUAAUGACUUUUCAAUGUGAAUAAAGAAAUUACAUCACUUGUCAGUUAUUAGCAAAUAUAUCUACGUGUGAGAACCAAUGUAAAAAAAAAAAAAACCAUUCUUAUCUUAAAUACUGUGACUAUUAAACAAAAUUGUAAUUAAGCAAUAUAGUAUCAGUGCAGAUAGACUCUCUGUUAAAUGAAUAUGCAUGUGUGUUAGCACACCAGGCGAAGUGCUGAGUAUUUCAUCUGCUGUUAAAUUCUGAGUUAAAAUUCCGCCACGGUCGACUUUAACCCUUUAGUGUUUAAACAGACCAUAUCCAGCACAAAUAUUCCGUCCUGCUUUAUGUUGAAACCUGCCAGAUAUGACCUACAACUACCUUAGAAUGUCAUUCUAAAAAUAAGCAAUCACAUCAUCAAAAUCUCAAAGCUAUGAGGUAAUAUUUGAUUAAUUCAAAGCAAUGUGAAUAAACAUUACAUUUUGACAAAUUAAUCUGAAUGCUAAAGGGUUAAGCCUGUUUAUUAGGGAGUACUUUUCAAUGAUGCUCUGAAAUAUAUAGGUUUUUGGUGGUUUUUGAUUAUCUCUUAUCGGCUCUGCUUUAAAGUGGCAGCCAGGUCACAUAAUCGCUCUAAUACACACUUUUCCAUGCUUGCAUGUGUUGGGCAAAGCUUAGUCUGAUUUUUCUAUGGUUGAGUGUCCUUGUUGCCAACUCUCACUUGAUUCUGCACAAGGUAAUAUUUCCCUAUGGCCAGAUAUGUUCUCACAGAAUACUAGAAAUGAGUGACUCGUGUGACUAAUGCUCAUAGAUGACUAUCACGCAAUGUCAAUUCAAGGAGAUACACGAUGGGCUUCUUUCAGUGUCUGUCUACCAAAUCCUCUCAAAAAGCUUUAGUCAGCCCAGUGUUAUAGCAGAAGACAUUUGCCCAUGGUGCCACACCAUUGGGAUUGAACCCAGAACCAUUUGUUGGGGAAGCAAACUUUUUACCACACUGUCAUGUCUGCACCUAAUUAUCCGAUUUGUUGCACAUAAAAAAUGAAAUAAUUAGCAAGGCAUUAUUCUAUUUUCAUCACUUACUGGGGUGCAUGCUCCAGCAAGGCAUAUAAACCCACAUUUGAAUUGAAAGUAGAUACACCUAAUUAUAGGCAAAAUGCUAUUAUUACUUAAGCCAUCUUGUUGCUUGCUGUGUUCAUCUGAUGCUCCCACUAAUCUCAGUCCUACUACUACAGAUCAUCUGCCUUUCUAUUUGUUUUUCCUGCAAUCUUUUAACUUCAUAAUAAUACUCAAAUUGAACAUCAGCCUAUUAAUUUCACAUAGUCUCAGCAGGCCUUCAAGGGUCAUAGAUAACGACUUUCUUUGUGAUGAGAUUUUUUUUUUUUAUUUGGACCUGUUGCAAUAAAUGCAUAGUAAUAUAUAUUUUUUUACAUUAUUAGAAAUGUCAAGUCACUGAGUUUACUUGUAAGCAAGCUGUUUUAAAUUAAGAUUGUCUUCAAAGUGGAAAGACUAAAAGGUGUUCCUUGGAAUUUGGCCACUACAGUGAUCUAGUUAUGUUGAAACCUGUUGAUGAUUAUGUAUUACAGUUGUAAUUUUCUAAAAUAUAAUUUGCUAAUCUGCCAUUUGUAAUAAAUUUAUGAAUCAAACAUAAGACUUUUUAUUAUUAUUAUUAUAGGCUCGUGCUUUUAACAAAUUUUUACCAUUAUUGGACCGUGUCCUUGUGGAGCGAUUUCUGCCUGAACUAAAAACUAAAAGUGGUCUCAUGAUCCCAGAGAAGUCUCAAGGCAAGGUUGUCCAGGCAACAGUGGUGGCAUGUGGUCCAGGAGGCAGAGCUAAAGUAUGUAUUUUCUAUUUUUGCAUUUUUACUCCCCAGCAUCAUCUGCAUGCAGAUGAUGGGCAGAUUGUAUGCUGCUUGUAUGGGAAGUUCAAUACUGCUUAGUGGUGCGGUGUGGGCUCUGAAUGUAGCUGUUGUUUGGCAAAUUGAGUUGAAUGAAGCAUGAAUGUUUUGAUGUCAGUGUUAAUGAACAAUGCAAAUGAGCUGAAAGAAAUGCUGAGCAUAAGGAGAAUCAGAUGUAGUGUGCAACAGGGAAGACUGUGUUGUCAUGGGUGUGUGAUAUGUAUAGAAGGUGUCAGCUGUAUAAAGAAGCAUGGGGCCCUCAAAGCAGAUGAAAUUUAUUGAGUAGGGACUCAAGAUGAAGUGUUGAAUGCAAUCAGAAUGUUGAACCCCAUGGAGAUGACAGGACUUAGAUAAUUAGUGACACAGUGUCAAAUAAAAAAUCAUUGUCUUGUACAAGUAUAGUGAAAUCAAUGCUAAAUUUGUUAAUUGCAUAGACUGGACAGUAUGUGUAUUUGCACAAACACAUGCACACAUUCUUUUGCAUCUCUGAUCCAAUAUACCUCUCCCCUGUCUUUGGUACCCACUUGCUUCCCUAUAUUCAUUCAUUUGUUGCGUGACUGAUGAAGGCAUGGCAUCCAUCACUAUUUAUUCAUCUGUGCUUCUAUUACUCUAUCUUUUUAUUAGCUCUUUCCAGUGACUGUUUCUUUGUACACAUGCACACUUAUCCACUUCUGUCAUCUCUUCUUACACUAAUCUCAAGUAUGUUACCUUGAAUGGAUACAGAAUGAUGAGUGUUCUUAAAGAAUACAAAGCAACUGGUGCCAGGAUAAAAUGUACUAAGUACACUCUGUAAAGUGUUUUUAGUGAAUGAAUUGAGAAAGUGUAAUUAGAAGUCUUUGUCUUGCUGAGAAUAUUACAACCUCAAUAAAAUGCUCCCCAAUACAAAAAGUGGUUGGUUGAUAGGAAGGGCAUCUACUUGUAGAAAGUAGGUCAGAUUUGCAAUGUUUAAGUGGUCUGUCAACCCACUUAAGAUAGUAACUUUGAAAAGGAACCAGCUCUCCAACCCAUGGAAAGACAUGGUCUAUUUGAGUUGCAAAGUUAGUUGAUAAAAUGUUACAAAUAAGUUUAGUAAAUUGCUGGAAAUUAAAAGCAUUUACUGUGAGAUAAUCAUUGUUGAUGGGGACAUGUACUUUAUAUGGAUUAUGUAUGCUCAAUAAAAAGAUGGCAUAAGACUGAAAAUGUUGCCACUGAUAUUCUAAGCGUUUAUUAAUUACAGAGUUGAGAAACAAGAUAAUUUUAUCAGUUCUAUUUGGAUUAUUGAAGAUUACAUGCAAAAUAUAGUAUGAAUAAUUUACAUUUCGAACAAUACUGUAUUUAGCUGCUAUUUUAUGCAUUUAUUUUUGCAAUUGUUUUACAGGAUGGCAGUACUGUUCCACUUACUGUCAAGUUUGGUGAUGUUGUCCUAUUGCCAGAAUAUGGUGGCACAAAAGUAGAAUUAGACAAAAAGGUGAGAUGUGUUUUAACUGUUAACCCUUUAGCAUUUAAACCGGCCAAAAUAUUCUAUCCAUUUUAUUCAAACUGGCCAUAUCCAACCUAUCACACCUAUCCUAUAAUGCCUGAUUAACUAAAAACAAUGUGAAUAAAUAAGCUAUACCUCAAGAAUUCCCAACCCUUUUUUAUCUAUGGACCCCUUUGAUUGCUAUUUUAUUCUGGUGGACACCCAUAGCAAUUUGGUGUUUAAAACUAGUUUUACAAGAAACGUUUUCUAAAAUUGCUUCAUUUUUAACACAUUAACUUGAGUAAGCUGAACUAUGUAAAAUGUUAAAGAAACCUAACUGCUUCUUGCAAUAUAUAUAUAUCUAAAGCAAAUUUUUUUUCGGGGGUCCUUAAAAUAAGAUUCCAAUUUACUUUGUUGCACGGACCCUGGUUGAGAACGGCUGCUAUAUAUUAAGAGUAAUCUGAAUGCUAAUGGAAAAAAACUUUUUAAAAACCCGUGUAGCUCCAGUAUCUCAAAACUCUAUUUUACAGCUUCUAGUUUUGAAAUAUCAGUGAUAUAUUCAAAGUAAAGUUGGGAAAAGUUACUAGGGAAAACUUCUGCUAAAGUUUCUAUGGCUGUUUAUAAGUUUUCUCUAUCAUGACAUAUGCUAUGGAGAGCAGAAUGUUUAACAUUUCAGAUUCUUUGUCUUCAAUGUGAAGUACAGAAAAAUAGUGUCAUUGGCCUUUUAGCUUUCUCUUCUCUUUUUAAAGGCCAAGAUCCAAAGUUUAGAUUUCUCACUCCAUAACGGUAGUUAGCCUAUGAAUUCUCCAACGUAGCUAUUUGGAAGGAUAAAUGCCUAGGUGUUUGAUUAAACGGCGAAGAUGGUAGGAAUUAUCUGUUCCAGUUAAUGUCAUUGAAAGAGUUACUUCCCUUGUUCUGGAAGUUGAAACUCGAGUUUUCUUAUUGAUAUUAGCUUUCCUUGUCAUGAAAAUAUCUAGUUGGUGUACUGAGUAGCUGUUGGGAUUCACCUCUCUUUGUUUUGUUUUUACCUUUUGGUGGUUAAAUACUUAGCUCUGAGAACCUGUGACUAUUAAAAUAGCAGACAAAAGUAAAAUUACAAUAUUUAUUUUAAAAGGGACUCAUGAGAAAAUGUAGUCCUGAACUGAUCAGAGGAUCAUAGCUGAAACGUUUUUGCCUUUGGGUCUUUAAACAAUCGCCAUCUUCCUGUGACGAUCUGUUUUCCACGCUGGCAUGGGUUGGACGGUUUUGAUCAAAGCUAGUCAGCCAGAGUUACACCAGGUUCUAGUCUUGUUUGGUUUCUAUGACUGCAUGUUCUUCCUAAUGCCAGCCACUUUACAGUGUGUACUAGGUGCUUUGGAUCUUUUCGGUUUGACCGGCAGUUUUUUAAAAUAAUUUCCACGUAACUAAACACUUUUAAACUUCGUAUUCUGGUAGAAUGUGUUUAUAAAACAUCUUUUUCUCUUGGCUUUAUUGAGAAAAUUCUAUAGUUUGUAAGAUAUUUGUUGUUUUUUCUUCAAUUUCUGAAAUUUCAACCAAUCAAUGACGUCUAUUGAGGUGAAAACAUUCUGUGCCUUAUGAACAUGUCCCUCGUUUGAGAAACAGAUUGGGUUUAUUUACAUUUCUGAAGAAAAAAAAGAUACCCUUCCCCCCACCCAUAACCCUAAAACAGAUUGAAAUGCAAUAGAUCGAUACUAGGGUCAUAAUUAUGGGUGACAAUUUCAUAUGACACUGCUAGAAAAAACUGCCUUUCAAACCGAAAAGAUCCGGUACUUUUAAUGUUCCACCAGCAGGACUGAUUUAUGGGCUUUUAAACGUUUUUACUCAUUUCAUUUCUUAUUUGCUGAUUAUUUUUGCUUACUAUGUUAUUAAUAAAUCCUUGUUAACUGUUUUUAUUUUCUUUUGCAGGAAUACUUCCUAUUCAGAGAUUCUGAUAUACUUGGAAAAUUUGAAUCCUAAUGUUGUUUGUUAGUCUAAGGCAGAUUCUGGCAUACUAUUAUGUAUAAAUUAGAACUUGAGAGGAAGAAUGACGCUGUUAAUUUUAUGAGCUUGCAGACCAGUGACACAUGAAGACUUAAGCAAAGCUACAUGUUCAAAAGUACUGACAUCACCAUAACUCGUGUUCAAAAUUAACUUAUUGGGAGUCUACUGGAAGCGAUUUGGGAGUGUAUUUUUGUGUUUUGCUUGUUAUUGAAUUUAGAAGUUUACUUUUAAGCUAGGUUUCUCUAAUUUUUAUUUCCAUUGCUUUGUCUGCUGGGUUUUUUUUUACGUAUAAAUCUGUUUAGGGAAAAAUCAUGGGUGCUACCUAAAAGUUAACUUCUACACUUUAAUACAUUAUGUUCAUUUAAGCAAAAACUCUUGAGGCUUCUCACUGUCAGUGCUUGGUCUCUUCCUCUUCAUCAUGUGCCACAAAUCAUUGAAAUCAUUUCUACCUGAAAACAAAAUGUUCUAUAUUUUAUCACUGAUUUAUAGCCCAUUCUAGCAUGUGAAAGAACUGUAGAGUUUUUUUUCUUACACGUUGUCAGAAACUCCCAAAUAUUCUGUACAUAUGAUCAUUUUGAAGAUUGUGAUAAAUAAAUAUCUCAAAAUACACUAUUG
Molecule: long non-coding RNA, 8940 nt
Filed under: Octopus vulgaris (common octopus)
Lineage: Eukaryota; Metazoa; Mollusca; Cephalopoda; Octopoda; Octopodidae
Source: RNAcentral